CAGUAGCCGCGGUAAUACGAAGGGUGCAAGCGUUACUCGGAAUUACUGGGCGUAAAGCGUGCGUAGGUGGUGGUUUAAGUCCGUUGUGAAAGCCCUGGGCUCAACCUGGGAAUUGCAGUGGAUACUGGGUCACUAGAGUGUGGUAGAGGAUAGUGGAAUUUCCGGUGUAGCAGUGAAAUGCGCAGAGAUCGGAAGGAACAUCUGUGGCGAAGGCGACUAUCUGGGCCAACACUGACACUGAGGCACGAAAGCGUGGGGAGCAAACAGGAUUAGAUACCCCAGUAGUCCCUGUCUCUUAUAC
RNAcentral lists this ribosomal RNA (301 nucleotides) under uncultured bacterium. Its description in RNAcentral is "partial 16S ribosomal RNA". It matches the Rfam family "Bacterial small subunit ribosomal RNA", at positions 509 to 807 of the family's 1533-position model. The record is from RNAcentral.